RNAcentral lists this ribosomal RNA (492 nucleotides) under uncultured bacterium. RNAcentral's name for it is "partial 16S ribosomal RNA". It matches the Rfam family "Bacterial small subunit ribosomal RNA", at positions 29 to 507 of the family's 1533-position model. The record is from RNAcentral.
AGUGAACGCUGGCGGUAGGCCUAACACAUGCAAGUCGAACGGCAGCACAGUAAGAGUUUGCUCUUACGGGUGGCGAGUGGCGGACGGGUGAGGAAUACAUCGGAAUCUACUUUUUCGUGGGGGAUUACGUAGGGAAACUUACGCUAAUACCGCAUACGACCUACGGGUGAAAGCAGGGGAUCUUCGGACCUUGCGCGAUUGAAUUAGCUGAUGUCGGAUUAGCUAGUUGGCGGGGUAAAGGCCCACCAAGGCGACGAUCCGUAGCUGGUCUGAGAGGAUGAUCAGCCACACUGGAACUGAGACACGGUCCAGACUCCUACGGGAGGCAGCAGUGGGGAAUAUUGGACAAUGGGCGCAAGCCUGAUCCAGCCAUACCGCGUGAGUGAAGAAGGCCUUCGGGCUGUAAAGCCCUUUUGUUGGGAAAGAAAAGCAGCAGGUUAAUACCCCGCUGUUCUGACGGUACCCAAAGAAUAAGCACCGGCUAACUUCGUG